UCAAGAGCAACAAAAACACCAACAACAUCCAACCAAGACUAUAACAACAAGUCCACACAUCCAAGAACAACAACUUCAACACACGGCCAUGGUCUUGUUCACAACAACAACAUCAAUUUUUUUAAAGCUCAAAUCUAGAUCGACUCAAAGUGUUAAUGGACAAGAAUACUAACACUUGAAACAACAACACAAGAAAAAUAAAU
Molecule: long non-coding RNA, 203 nt
Filed under: Capsicum annuum
Lineage: Eukaryota; Viridiplantae; Streptophyta; Magnoliopsida; Solanales; Solanaceae
Description: long non-coding RNA (CANN_LNC001334)
Source: RNAcentral